GGUUAAGCGACUAAGCGUACACGGUGGAUGCCCUGGCAGUCAGAGGCGAUGAAGGACGUGCUAAUCUGCGAUAAGCGUCGGUAAGGUGAUAUGAACCGUUAUAACCGGCGAUUUCCGAAUGGGGAAACCCAGUGUGAUUCGUCACACUAUCAUUAACUGAAUCCAUAGGUUAAUGAGGCGAACCGGGGGAACUGAAACAUCUAAGUACCCCGAGGAAAAGAAAUCAACCGAGAUUCCCCCAGUAGCGGCGAGCGAACGGGGAGCAGCCCAGAGCCUGAAUCAGUGUGUGUGUUAGUGGAAGCGUCUGGAAAGGCGUGCGAUACAGGGUGACAGCCCCGUACACAAAAAUGCACAUGCUGUGAGCUCGAUGAGUAGGGCGGGACACGUGGUAUCCUGUCUGAAUAUGGGGGGACCAUCCUCCAAGGCUAAAUACUCCUGACUGACCGAUAGUGAACCAGUACCGUGAGGGAAAGGCGAAAAGAACCCCGGCGAGGGGAGUGAAAAAGAACCUGAAACCGUGUACGUACAAGCAGUGGGAGCACAGAGCAAUCUGUGUGACUGCGUACCUUUUGUAUAAUGGGUCAGCGACUUAUAUUCUGUAGCAAGGUUAACCGAAUAGGGGAGCCGAAGGGAAACCGAGUCUUAACUGGGCGUUAAGUUGCAGGGUAUAGACCCGAAACCCGGUGAUCUAGCCAUGGGCAGGUUGAAGGUUGGGUAACACUAACUGGAGGACCGAACCGACUAAUGUUGAAAAAUUAGCGGAUGACUUGUGGCUGGGGGUGAAAGGCCAAUCAAACCGGGAGAUAGCUGGUUCUCCCCGAAAGCUAUUUAGGUAGCGCCUCGUGAAUUCAUCUCCGGGGGUAGAGCACUGUUUCGGCAAGGGGGUCAUCCCGACUUACCAACCCGAUGCAAACUGCGAAUACCGGAGAAUGUUAUCACGGGAGACACACGGCGGGUGCUAACGUCCGUCGUGAAGAGGGAAACAACCCAGACCGCCAGCUAAGGUCCCAAAGUCAUGGUUAAGUGGGAAACGAUGUGGGAAGGCCCAGACAGCCAGGAUGUUGGCUUAGAAGCAGCCAUCAUUUAAAGAAAGCGUAAUAGCUCACUGGUCGAGUCGGCCUGCGCGGAAGAUGUAACGGGGCUAAACCAUGCACCGAAGCUGCGGCAGCGACGCUUAUGCGUUGUUGGGUAGGGGAGCGUUCUGUAAGCCUGCGAAGGUGUGCUGUGAGGCAUGCUGGAGGUAUCAGAAGUGCGAAUGCUGACAUAAGUAACGAUAAAGCGGGUGAAAAGCCCGCUCGCCGGAAGACCAAGGGUUCCUGUCCAACGUUAAUCGGGGCAGGGUGAGUCGACCCCUAAGGCGAGGCCGAAAGGCGUAGUCGAUGGGAAACAGGUUAAUAUUCCUGUACUUGGUGUUACUGCGAAGGGGGGACGGAGAAGGCUAUGUUGGCCGGGCGACGGUUGUCCCGGUUUAAGCGUGUAGGCUGGUUUUCCAGGCAAAUCCGGAAAACNNNNNNNNNNNNNNNNNNNNNNNNNNNNNNNNNNNNNNNNNNNNNNNNNNNNNNNNNNNNNNNNNNNNNNNNNNNNNNNNNNNNNNNNNNNNNNNNNNUAGCGCAAGCGAAGCUCUUGAUCGAAGCCCCGGUAAACGGCGGCCGUAACUAUAACGGUCCUAAGGUAGCGAAAUUCCUUGUCGGGUAAGUUCCGACCUGCACGAAUGGCGUAAUGAUGGCCAGGCUGUCUCCACCCGAGACUCAGUGAAAUUGAACUCGCUGUGAAGAUGCAGUGUACCCGCGGCAAGACGGAAAGACCCCGUGAACCUUUACUAUAGCUUGACACUGAACAUUGAGCCUUGAUGUGUAGGAUAGGUGGGAGGCUUUGAAGUGUGGACGCCAGUCUGCAUGGAGCCGACCUUGAAAUACCACCCUUUAAUGUUUGAUGUUCUAACGUUGACCCGUAAUCCGGGUUGCGGACAGUGUCUGGUGGGUAGUUUGACUGGGGCGGUCUCCUCCUAAAGAGUAACGGAGGAGCACGAAGGUUGGCUAAUCCUGGUCGGACAUCAGGAGGUUAGUGCAAUGGCAUAAGCCAGCUUGACUGCGAGCGUGACGGCGCGAGCAGGUGCGAAAGCAGGUCAUAGUGAUCCGGUGGUUCUGAAUGGAAGGGCCAUCGCUCAACGGAUAAAAGGUACUCCGGGGAUAACAGGCUGAUACCGCCCAAGAGUUCAUAUCGACGGCGGUGUUUGGCACCUCGAUGUCGGCUCAUCACAUCCUGGGGCUGAAGUAGGUCCCAAGGGUAUGGCUGUUCGCCAUUUAAAGUGGUACGCGAGCUGGGUUUAGAACGUCGUGAGACAGUUCGGUCCCUAUCUGCCGUGGGCGCUGGAGAACUGAGGGGGGCUGCUCCUAGUACGAGAGGACCGGAGUGGACGCAUCACUGGUGUUCGGGUUGUCAUGCCAAUGGCACUGCCCGGUAGCUAAAUGCGGAAGAGAUAAGUGCUGAAAGCAUCUAAGCACGAAACUUGCCCCGAGAUGAGUUCUCCCUGACUCCUUGAGAGUCCUGAAGGAACGUUGAAGACGACGACGUUGAUAGGCCGGGUGUGUAAGCGCAGCGAUGCGUUGAGCUAACCGGUACUAAUGAACCGUGAGGCUUAACCUU
This 2646-nucleotide ribosomal RNA is filed under the name Escherichia coli. Its description in RNAcentral is "23S ribosomal RNA". It matches the Rfam family "Bacterial large subunit ribosomal RNA". The record is from RNAcentral. Lineage: Bacteria; Pseudomonadati; Pseudomonadota; Gammaproteobacteria; Enterobacterales; Enterobacteriaceae.